GUGUGAUGUUAACAAAUUCAAUCUUACGGUAAAGUGUUACCAACUGACUUUGAGUUUACAGUCCUAAUGUGUAUGCAUACCGUCAGAAUACUGUAGUUCCCCCGAACAAACUGUCCUCUCGCUGUCACCACCCCAGUGUCUGGAUGGAUAUCAAACCGGCCUUCAUUGUUGUCUUCUAGACUGUACGUGAUCAUGCCAUUGGGCCCCACAUCAUCAUCACGGGCCACCAUCCUGUAGAUGUCCUGAGGCUCAGCCGUGCUCUGCCGUUCAGGGAGUUUUAUUUGGAAAAGCUUGUGACUGAACUGAGGGCUGUUAUCAUUCUCGUCCAGGACUUCAAUGACCACGGUGGCAGUGGAGCUCAAAGGAGGUUCCCCUUUAUCUGACACCAUGACCUAAACAACCGCAGAGAGGAGAGAGUGCUGAUCACACCUAAACAAACAUACAGAGGAAGAGCAGACAGACUGAUCAAUGCCACCUGCCUCAGAUGGAUGACACACCUGUUCAUUCACCCCAGGCUGCUCAUUUUACUUUCUCUUCCCACAGGUUCCAUCUUGAUGUUUACACUUAUUUUGUCAUCGAUCGUUAGCAGACUCUCUGCAGUGGUUGGUGAAAUAAGGGUGAAAUUCUUUUCUACUUUUUGGAUCUUCACAACAACCGUUGCUACAUUUCCAAAUUUCUGCACACCAGAGAUUUUCUUUUUCCUGUCCUCUGCCAGCACUGUCAGGUCAUACCUAUCUCUCUGACUGGUGUCAAGUCUCUUGACAAGUGUAACAGUCCCCGUGAAAGGAUCAACAGCAAACGGGUGUGAUCUAGUGGUGAAUGAGUAAUAAAAUUCAGCAUUGCUGCCAAUAUCAGCAUCCGUUGCACUCACUCUCACCAGGCUCGACUUGAUUGGUGUGUCCUCCUUAAUUACCACAUGAUAAGAGGCAGGGUAGAAGAGCGGUUUCAGAUCAUUUGUGUCAAGCACUUGGAUCAAUACCUUUGUUCUAGCUCGGUUGUCAAAAGUGCUUUCUGUAGCCUCAACAGUGAGGGUGUAAAUGUCUCUGACCUCUCGGUUGAGCACAGCUGAGUUACUGCUUCGGGUUAUGAUUCUCAGAAAGGAGAAAUCUCCUACAUCUUCUUUCUCGGUCUGGAAAAGGCCAUCAUCAUCACCAGAGACAAUCUUGUACUUGAUGUUCCAGAAGGGAUCAGUCAGUAAUAUGCCCAUCCGGACUGAACUCUCCACGUAGGUCUUAGGGGCAGAGUUCUCAUAAAUGCUGGCAUUAUACAAAUGAUGGGUGAACCUCAGCAAAGAGCUGUCCUUUACCAGGCUCCCAUGACAUCUGGUUAGUGUUCCUAGGACUGCUAUGACAGUGAGAAUUAUGGCUGUGUCUGUGAAAGACAUUCUCACUGCCUCAACAUGGACCCGCAGACCUGAGGAGAGUGAAACAAAUGUUUAAACUUCUUUAUUGUCUGACAAAUAGACCACACAGUGUCAAGACUUGGCCUUAUAAUGAGCUGAUAUUUUAGAGUAAUAUAACCACAUACUGAAACAUAAAAGGACAAAACACACACACACACACACACUCAUCUUAUUGUCUGUUUCACCUAAUAAAAGAUCAUAGUCGGGU
RNAcentral lists this long non-coding RNA (1610 nucleotides) under Danio rerio (zebrafish). RNAcentral describes it as "si:ch211-117i7.2 (ENSDARG00000101321.2)". The record is from RNAcentral. Lineage: Eukaryota; Metazoa; Chordata; Actinopteri; Cypriniformes; Danionidae.